AUUGAACGCUGGCGGCAGGCCUAACACAUGCAAGUCGAGCGGAGGAAGGGAGCUUGCUCCUGGAUUCAGCGGCGGACGGGUGAGUAAUGCCUAGGAAUCUGCCUGGUAGUGGGGGAUAACGUCCGGAAACGGGCGCUAAUACCGCAUACGUCCUGAGGGAGAAAGUGAGGGAUCUUCGGACCUCACGCUAUCAGAUGAGACUAGGUCGGAUUAGCUAGUUGGUGGGGUAAAGGACUACCAAGGCGACGAUCCGUAACUGGUCUGAGAGGAUGAUCAGUCACACUGGAACUGAGACACGGUCCAGACUCCUACGGGAGGCAGCAGUGGGGAAUAUUGGACGAUGGGCGAAAGCCUGAUCCAGCCAUGCCGCGUGUGUGAAGAAGGUCUUCGGAUUGUAAAGCACUUUAAGUUGGGAAGAAGGGCAGUAAUUUAAUACCUUGCUGUUUUGACGUUACCAACAGAAUAAGCACCGGCUAACUUCGUG
RNAcentral lists this ribosomal RNA (484 nucleotides) under uncultured bacterium. RNAcentral describes it as "partial 16S ribosomal RNA". It matches the Rfam family "Bacterial small subunit ribosomal RNA", at positions 30 to 507 of the family's 1533-position model. The record is from RNAcentral.